UACGUAGGGUGCAAGCGUUAAUCGGAAUACUGGGCGUAAAGCGUGCGCAGGCGGUUCUAUAAGACAGAUGUGAAAUCCCCGGGCUCAACCCUGGGAACUGCAUUUGUGACUGUAGAGCUGGAGUGCGGCAGAGGGGGAUGGAAUUCCGCGUGUAGCAGUGAAAUGCGUAGAUAUGCGGAGGAACACCGAUGGCGAAGGCAAUCCCCUGGGCCUGCACUGACGCUCAUGCACGAAAGCGUGGGAGCGAAACAAGGA
This 255-nucleotide ribosomal RNA is filed under the name uncultured bacterium. Its description in RNAcentral is "partial 16S ribosomal RNA". It matches the Rfam family "Bacterial small subunit ribosomal RNA", at positions 524 to 778 of the family's 1533-position model. The record is from RNAcentral.